UUCCCUUAGUAGCGGCGAGCGAACAGGGAAGAGCCCAGCACCGAAUCUUGCGGGUGUAUGCUCGCUGAGAAAUGUGGUGUUUGGGAGGGUCCGUACAUUCCGUGGUUUGGCGGCGAGUCCAAGUCCAUCUUGAAUGGGGCCACGGCCCGUAGAGGGUGCCAGGCCCGUAGGACCGUUGCUGAUCACGGUAGGACCUCUCCUUAGAGUCGGGUUGC
This 215-nucleotide ribosomal RNA is filed under the name Diestramima sp. BUT1. Its description in RNAcentral is "partial 28S ribosomal RNA". It matches the Rfam family "Eukaryotic large subunit ribosomal RNA", at positions 75 to 273 of the family's 3401-position model. The record is from RNAcentral. Lineage: Eukaryota; Metazoa; Arthropoda; Insecta; Orthoptera; Rhaphidophoridae. RNAcentral also lists the same sequence under 1 other name.